Molecule: long non-coding RNA, 811 nt
Filed under: Equus asinus (donkey)
Lineage: Eukaryota; Metazoa; Chordata; Mammalia; Perissodactyla; Equidae
Description: lncRNA (ENSEASG00005033796.1)
Source: RNAcentral
CCCAAGAGGAGAGGGUUUAGAAAACUUCCAGACUGGUGAACGUGUGGAGAUUGGGGAGAGUGGAGCACCUGGAGAAGACGUGGAAGCUAAGUCUUUUUCCCAUAUCUUGCCCUAGGCGUCUCUUCCAUCUGGCUGUUCCUGAGUUAUAUCCUUUUAUAAUAAGCCAGUGAUCUAGAUCAUUGGGACAGUUGGAGAAACAGAUCAAGCUUCCAGGAACAAUACCUUGAGGCACACCACAGACCGGGAGGGAGUUGUUGUCUGUUACCACCACAAACUCCAGAACCACUCCACAGAUCUGUCCUGAGGAGGAAGCGGCCACCGCCACUGCCACUGACUCCAUAACCGUAUUUCACGGAUUAGAGAGGAGACUCCAUCACUACCUCUACCUCUGGUGCCAUUCAUACCAUCAAAACAUGAAUUCCCCAUGCAGACCCUAUUUUCCCGCAGGGCUGAAACCAGGUACAGGCAACAGGAUUAAAGAAGAGGGAAUCCAAAGAGGACGGCCCUUUGAUGUCAGGCAACCUGGUUACCAUCUCGGAAGGCUCUAAUCACCUGUCUGAGCUUGGCACAGAUCUCUGAUGCCUGAGGGAGAAACUGGCAAGAAUAUGAUCAGAACCAAAGCAGAUGCCUGUCCUGAGAAAAGGGAACAUAAUUUUUAGUGAUCUCGAAUGUUCAGGCAGCACUUCAGUCUCCUGCUAGUCACUGUGGGAGAUUUCCAGAUCUAGUCAGUAUCAAGAGACUCCGAGGGGAACAAUGCAGGAGAGCCGCCUCCAGCCUGGCUGUGAUAGCCCUCCCCACAUCUGGAAAAAAU